GAUGAACGCUGGCGGCGUGCCUAAUACAUGCAAGUCGAGCGAACGGACGAGAAGCUUGCUUCUCUGAUGUUAGCGGCGGACGGGUGAGUAACACGUGGAUAACCUACCUAUAAGACUAGGAUAACUUCGGGAAACCGUAGCUAAUACCGGAUAAUAUUUUGAACCGCAUGGUUCAAAAGUGAAAGACGGUCUUGCUGUCACUUAUAGAUGGAUCCGCGCUGCAUUAGCUAGUUGGUAAGGUAACGGCUUACCAAGGCAACGAUGCAUAGCCGACCUGAGAGGGUGAUCGGCCACACUGGAACUGAGACACGGUCCAGACUCCUACGGGAGGCAGCAGUAGGGAAUCUUCCGCAAUGGGCGAAAGCCUGACGGAGCAACGCCGCGUGAGUGAUGAAGGUCUUCGGAUCGUAAAACUCUGUUAUUAGGGAAGAACAUAUGUGUAAGUAACUGUGCACAUCUUGACGGUACCUAAUCAGAAAGCCACGGCUAACUACGUG
This 497-nucleotide ribosomal RNA is filed under the name uncultured bacterium. RNAcentral's name for it is "partial 16S ribosomal RNA". It matches the Rfam family "Bacterial small subunit ribosomal RNA", at positions 28 to 507 of the family's 1533-position model. The record is from RNAcentral.